This 209-nucleotide ribosomal RNA is filed under the name uncultured prokaryote. Its description in RNAcentral is "partial 16S ribosomal RNA". It matches the Rfam family "Bacterial small subunit ribosomal RNA", at positions 524 to 732 of the family's 1533-position model. The record is from RNAcentral.
UACAGAGGUCUCAACCGUUGUUCGGAUUUAUUGGGUUUAAAGGGUGCGUAGGCGGCUUUGUAAGUCAGUGGUGAAAUAUGGCAGCUCAACUGUCAGGGUGCCAUUGAUACUGCGGAGCUUGAGUACAGAUGAGGUAGGCGGAAUUGACGGUGUAGCGGUGAAAUGCUUAGAUAUCGUCAAGAACACCGAUAGCGAAGGCAGCCCCCUGG